Molecule: transfer RNA, 72 nt
Filed under: Tetrahymena thermophila SB210
Lineage: Eukaryota; Ciliophora; Oligohymenophorea; Hymenostomatida; Tetrahymenidae
Description: Tetrahymena thermophila tRNA-Glu for anticodon UUC
Rfam family: tRNA
About the family: Transfer RNA (tRNA) molecules are approximately 80 nucleotides in length. Their secondary structure includes four short double-helical elements and three loops (D, anti-codon, and T loops).
Source: Rfam by way of RNAcentral
UCCAGGAUGGUGCAGUGGAAAGCAUAGCAGCCUUUCAAGCUGCAGACCUGGGUUCAAUUCCCAGUCUUGGAG